RNAcentral lists this ribosomal RNA (301 nucleotides) under uncultured bacterium. Its description in RNAcentral is "partial 16S ribosomal RNA". It matches the Rfam family "Bacterial small subunit ribosomal RNA", at positions 509 to 808 of the family's 1533-position model. The record is from RNAcentral.
CAGUCGCCGCGGUAAUACGUAGGUGGCAAGCGUUGUCCGGAAUUAUUGGGCGUAAAGGGCUCGCAGGCGGUUUCUUAAGUCUGAUGUGAAAGCCCCCGGCUCAACCGGGGAGGGUCAUUGGAAACUGGGAAACUUGAGUGCAGAAGAGGAGAGUGGAAUUCCACGUGUAGCGGUGAAAUGCGUAGAGAUGUGGAGGAACACCAGUGGCGAAGGCGACUCUCUGGUCUGUAACUGACGCUGAGGAGCGAAAGCGUGGGGAGCGAACAGGAUAGAUACCCCUGUAGUCCCUGUCUCUUAUACA